CCUACGGGAGGCAGCAGUGAGGAAUAUUGGUCAAUGGCCGAAAGCCUGAACCAGCCAAGUCGCGUGAGGGAAGACGGCCCUAUGGGUUGUAAACCUCUUUUGUCGGGGAGGAAAACGCACCACGUGUGGUUCAUUGCGCGUACCCCAUGAAUAAGCAUCGGCUAACUCCGUGCCAGCAGCCGCGGUAAUACGGAGGAUGCGAGCGUUAUCCGGAUUUAUGGGGUUUAGGGGGUGCGUAGGCGGUGGUGUAAGUUAGUGGUAAAAUGUGGGGGCUUAACCCUGUACGGCCGUUGAAACUGCAGUACUGGAGUGCAGGAGAGGUAGGCGGAAUACGUGGAGUAGCGGUGAAAUGCAUAGAUAUCACGCAGAACCCCGAUGGCGAAGGCAGCAUACCGGAGUGUAACUGACGCUGAUGCACGAGAGCGUGGGUAGUGAACAGGAUUAGAUACCCGAGUAGUC
RNAcentral lists this ribosomal RNA (459 nucleotides) under uncultured bacterium. Its description in RNAcentral is "partial 16S ribosomal RNA". It matches the Rfam family "Bacterial small subunit ribosomal RNA", at positions 338 to 795 of the family's 1533-position model. The record is from RNAcentral.